GAGCGAGAAAGUGGAGCAAUCCAUGAGUACAGCGGCGCACGGGUGAGUAACACGUGACUAACCUACCCUCGAGUGGGGAAUAACUUCGGGAAACCGAGGCUAAUACCGCAUAAUACCCACGGGUCAAAGGAGAAAUCCGCUUGAGGAGGGGGUCGCGGCCGAUUAGUUAGUUGGCGGGGUAAUGGCCCACCAAGACGAUGAUCGGUAUCCGGCCUGAGAGGGCGCACGGACACACUGGAACUGACACACGGUCCAGACUCCUACGGGAGGCAGCAGUGGGGAAUUUUGCGCAAUGGGGGAAACCCUGACGCAGCAACGCCGCGUGGAGGAUGAAGUCCUUCGGGACGUAAACUCCUUUCGAUCGGGACGAUUAUGACGGUACCGGAAGAAGAAGCCCCGGCUAACUUCGUG
This 411-nucleotide ribosomal RNA is filed under the name uncultured bacterium. RNAcentral describes it as "bacterial SSU rRNA". It matches the Rfam family "Bacterial small subunit ribosomal RNA", at positions 64 to 507 of the family's 1533-position model. The record is from RNAcentral.